Molecule: ribosomal RNA, 433 nt
Filed under: uncultured bacterium
Lineage: Bacteria
Description: partial 16S ribosomal RNA
Rfam family: Bacterial small subunit ribosomal RNA
Source: RNAcentral
AACGAACGCUGGCGGCAUGCCUAACACAUGCAAGUCGAACGAGACCUUCGGGUCUAGUGGCGCACGGGUGCGUAACGCGUGGGAACCUGCCCUUAGGUUCGGAAUAACUCCCCGAAAGGGGUGCUAAUACCGGAUAAUGUCUUCGGACCAAAGAUUUAUCGCCUUUGGAUGGGCCCGCGUUGGAUUAGCUAGUUGGUAGGGUAAAAGCCUACCAAGGCGACGAUUCAUAGCUGGUCUGAGAGGAUGAUCAGCCACACUGGGACUGAGACACGGCCCAGACUCCUACGGGAGGCAGCAGUGGGGAAUAUUGGACAAUGGGCGAAAGCCUGAUCCAGCAAUGCCGCGUGAGUGAUGAAGGCCUUGGGGUUGUAAAGCUCUUUUAACCGGGAUGAUAAUGACAGUACCGGGAGAGUAAGCUCCGGCUAACUCCGUG